CGUACGUACUUCGGGUAUCGAGCUGUUUGGUCUAAUUUUACCAUUAAACAUUAGUACCAGUAUGUAACGAAAUAAUACGAACAAAAAAAACUUUACAACAACGGAUCUCUUGGCUCUCGCAUCGAUGAAGAACGCAGCGAAAUGUGAUAAGUAAUGUGAAUUGCAGAAUUCAGUGAAUCAUCGAAUCUUUGAACGCACCUUGCGCUCCCUGGCAUUCCGGGGAGCAUGCCUGUUUGAGUGUCAUGAACUCUUCAACCCACCAGUUUCUAGUAGACUGUGUGAUGUUUGGAUCUUGAGUGUUGCUAGUCUGACUAGCUCGUUCGUAAUAUAUUAGCAUCUCUAAUUCGACUUCGGAUUGACUCAGUGUAAUAGGACUAUUCGCUGAGGACACUUUUAUUAGUGGCCGUAUGAGAACCAGUAGAAGCUUCCAACUACUUAGUCAACUUUGAUUUAGACCUCAGAUCAGGCAGGAUUACCCGCUGAACUUAA
This 489-nucleotide ribosomal RNA is filed under the name uncultured fungus. Its description in RNAcentral is "eukaryotic LSU rRNA". The stretch from base 90 to 243 matches the Rfam family "5.8S ribosomal RNA". Lineage: Eukaryota; Fungi. The record is from RNAcentral.